This is a long non-coding RNA of Bos taurus (domestic cattle), 1064 nucleotides long. The record is from Ensembl. Lineage: Eukaryota; Metazoa; Chordata; Mammalia; Artiodactyla; Bovidae.
GAUGUGGGUGGAGCCAUGUGGACCGGCUGGCCCCGGGCUGAUCGGCUGGGGCUGGUAGGUUGGCUCGGGCUGUGGCUGGGUGGUUCCUCCCUCCUUCCCGCCCGGAGGCGGGCAGUGCUGACGGCUCGUACUGACGCAGGCCCCUGCGUGUGGGCGGCUGCCUAUGGAGAAGCUGAGGCUAGAGUAGGAAUCACAAUGACAGCUGAUACCAAGUGCUGAUGAUGCCCGGCUCUGCUCUAAAUAGAGCGGGUGGAUUUUUCACCUGAUCCUCACCGUAACCCUGCAUGGGAAGGACUGUUGUUAUCAGCUCCAUUUUACAAGUGAGAAAACAAAGUCCAGUGGGUCCAGAGUCACACAACCAAUCAGCGGUGGAGCUGGGAUUCAGAUCCCAGAGACCUGGCUUGGAAGCGCACACUUUCAACCCCAGAGUUGCAAAGGAGCCAGUGGUGGAGUCAGUGGCAGAGCCAGGCCCAGCCAGGUGCCACCUCUUCUAGACAGAAAAGUCAGAAAGCUGGUGAGGGAUCCAGGGUCAAGCACCUCGGCUUAUCCACCAUCUCUGCACUCCAGGGCAGCUCUGUCUCCAGUCCCACCACGCAAGACUUGCCUUCCUUGACAUCUGACAACAUUCAUGUCACCCCAUAAUUCAUAAGGAUCAUCCCAUUCAUCAUCCUAAAGCCUGGAGGUAGGGCACUCCAUAUCAUCACUGAGGCUCAGAGAGGGGGCCGUUGUGAGAAACAAGCAAGAUGUGCAUGUCCAGUGAGGAGCAAGGGCCCUGCCCCUUGUCAGGGCUCGAUUCCCCGCGAAGCAUCUGAAAGAGCACAGGUCCAGGAGCUGUGGUUGGGGGAGCGUGUGCUGAAUACCAAGAAGGAGCCACACGGCAUCCGGUGCCUGGCACCCAGUCCCUCUAGCAGCUUUCCCUUUCCUGUGGUGAAUCACUCCUCACCAACCCUGGGGACUCAGGAGUCCCCAGCUUACCACAAACACUACCAUUGUCAUAGAAACCGGGCCUCCCCUUCCUCUCUGACUGACUGAUUUCACCACAUUGUCCCCCACUCUGUCUCUGG